RNAcentral lists this ribosomal RNA (332 nucleotides) under uncultured Sporomusa sp. RNAcentral describes it as "bacterial SSU rRNA". It matches the Rfam family "Bacterial small subunit ribosomal RNA", at positions 568 to 898 of the family's 1533-position model. The record is from RNAcentral. Lineage: Bacteria; Bacillati; Bacillota; Negativicutes; Selenomonadales; Sporomusaceae.
CGUGUAGGUGGGUAAUUAAGUCAUGGGUGAAAACUGCGAGCUCAACUUGCAGACUGCCUAUGAAACUGGAUAUCUUGAGGGCAGGAGAGGAAAGUGGAAUUCCUAGUGUAGCGGUGAAAUGCGUAGAUAUUAGGAGGAACACCAGUGGCGAAGGCGACUUUCUGGACUGUCCCUGACACUGAGGCGCGAAAGCUAGGGGAGCAAACGGGAUUAGAUACCCCGGUAGUCCUAGCCGUAAACGAUGGGUACUAGGUGUGGGAGGUAUCGACCCCUUCCGUGCCGGAGUUAACACAUUAAGUACCCCGCCUGGGGAGUACGGCCGCAAGGUUGAA